GCUGGUUCAGUCCGACCCCCCGGGGCUGAACCCCUGGCGGCCCUCGUCCCUCCCCCCUGGCGAGGGCCGCCUUCU
Streptomyces sp. AA4 is the source of this 75-nucleotide non-coding RNA. The record is from Rfam. Lineage: Bacteria; Bacillati; Actinomycetota; Actinomycetes; Kitasatosporales; Streptomycetaceae.